CCAAGGCCGGAAAGGAUGCGCACACACCUUGGGAAGUGCAAUCCUAACAAGUUCUGCCUCUACCAUCGUGACCACGGCCACGACAUAAAGGACUGCAUUCAACUUCGAGAUGAGAUCGAGGAGCUCAUCAGACGAGGUCGGCUCGAUAGGUUCAUUCGAUGCCGGCCUGAGGGUAGAGAGGAUCGGCCAAGGGCCCUGUCACAAUCUGAGCUGUC
Molecule: long non-coding RNA, 215 nt
Filed under: Elaeis guineensis (African oil palm)
Lineage: Eukaryota; Viridiplantae; Streptophyta; Magnoliopsida; Arecales; Arecaceae
Description: long non-coding RNA (EGUI_LNC053897)
Source: RNAcentral